AUAGGAAUCUACCUAGUAGUAUAGGAUAGCCACUAGAAAUGGUGGGUAGUACUGUAUAAUCCCUGCGGGGGAAAGAUUUAUCGCUACAUGAUGAGCCUAUGUUAGAUUAGCUAGUUGGUGGGGUAAUGGCCUACCAAGGCAGUGAUCUAUAGCCGGUCUGAGAGGAUGAUCAGCCACACUGGAACUGAGACACGGUCCAGACUCCUACGGGAGGCAGCAGUGGGGAAUAUUGGACAAUGGGCGCAAGCCUGAUCCAGCUAUGCCGCGUGAGUGAGGAAGGCCUUAGGGUUGUAAAACUCUUUCAGUGGGGAAGAUAAUGACGGUACCCACAGAAGAAGUCCCGGCAAACUCCGUGCCAGCAGCCGCGGUAAUACGGAGGGGGCAAGCGUUGUUCGGAAUUAUUGGGCGUAAAGGGCAUGUAGGUGGUUUGGUAAGUUAAAGGUGAAAUGCCAGGGCUUAACCCUGGAGCUGCUUUUAAUACUGCCAGACUGGAG
Molecule: ribosomal RNA, 494 nt
Filed under: Anaplasma bovis
Lineage: Bacteria; Pseudomonadati; Pseudomonadota; Alphaproteobacteria; Rickettsiales; Anaplasmataceae
Description: bacterial SSU rRNA
Rfam family: Bacterial small subunit ribosomal RNA
Source: RNAcentral